Molecule: long non-coding RNA, 897 nt
Organism: Rhododendron vialii
Lineage: Eukaryota; Viridiplantae; Streptophyta; Magnoliopsida; Ericales; Ericaceae
Exons: 2
Source: RefSeq, a predicted model, not a curated record
GAUUCCAUAAGUGUGUGUUUGCAACUAUGCAUUUAUGACCUGCCGAAAGUGUCUCCCAAAUGUUGAUAUUGAUUUUCCUUUUAUGAAACUGGAUUUAGAAUAGCUGAAGCCGGGUUAUCAAUUGCACAAACUAACAACUGGUACCCUAAUACCUCGUUGAAGACAAGGUUCUAAAUCAGUUUUGUGUCCUCUUAUCCUCAACUCCUUGAUUUGAGUUUGUUGGAAGUUAGUAUUAUGGGAUAAUUAUGAUUUGUAGGUCAAACCUUGAUACCUUGUUAUUUCUUGAUUGUUUCAUUUCUGCCAGUGGACAUCUUGGUUGACAUGUUGGCUGGUGAAGGAUGUACUGUGCAGGAUUAGUUGGAAAACAGAGAGAGUGAUUACAAUCCACUUCUUUAAAAUGGCUUGAAGGGCUACAUUGGCUACAUACCUCCAGAAUAUUGUAUAGGAGAGAAACCAUCAACGGCUGGAGAUGUGGACAGUUACGUGAUCAAGUUGCUAGAGCUUUUUACUGGAAAGAGCUCUAACCAUGAGAGUUCCACAGCAGAUUUAAGCUCGAAGAAAUGGGUGCAAAUGGCGUUCGGACCAACGUAGAUCAAGUGUUGUAUCCUGGUUUGGUGCCAAACAACAGUAGUGACGUUCACUCCAUUACUUCAGAAGCAUGGAGUGAUUGCUAUAUAUAUUGCAAUACUUGGUGUUGGUCUCGCUUACAUUGUUGAUUUGCCAGACGGAUGCAUUAGCAUGAGGGAUGGUAGAGGGUAGUCCCAUUCCUGAAAUAGGCUAUAGUAGGAAUGCUUGAUCUGUCCAUCAAUUUGUAUAUUAAGUGUUUGUGCUUUAGGUAUCAGUGUUCGACUUCUACAAAUUCAAAGCUCUUGUGUCAUGGAUCAGAACUGUUUUUUU